This 301-nucleotide ribosomal RNA is filed under the name uncultured bacterium. Its description in RNAcentral is "partial 16S ribosomal RNA". It matches the Rfam family "Bacterial small subunit ribosomal RNA", at positions 509 to 807 of the family's 1533-position model. The record is from RNAcentral.
CAGUCGCCACGGUAAUACGUAGGCAGCGAGCGUUGUUCGGAAUUACUGGGCGUAAAGAGUGCGUAGGCGGUGCUCUAAGUCUGUCGUGAAAUCUCCCGGCUUAACUGGGAGGGUGCGGCGGAAACUGGAAUGCUCGAGUAUGGGAGAGGUAAGCGGAAUUCCUGGUGUAGCGGUGAAAUGCGUAGAUAUCAGGAGGAACACCUGUGGUGUAGACAGCUUACUGGACCAUGACUGACGCUGAGGCACGAAAGCGUGGGUAGCAAACAGGAUUAGAUACCCCUGUAGUCCCUGUCUCUUAUAC